UACAGAGGUCCCGAGCGUUUGUUCGGAUUCACUGGGCGUAAAGGGUGCGUAGGUGGUGAGGUAAGUCGGAUGUGAAAUCUCCGAGCUCAACUCGGAAAUGGCAUUGGAAACUACCUUGCUUGAGGGUUGGAGGGGGGACUGGAAUACUUGGUGUAGCAGUGAAAUGCGUAGAUAUCAAGUGGAACACCAGUGGCGAAGGCGAGUCCCUGGACAACUCCUGACACUGAGGCACGAAAGCUAGGGGAGCAAACAGG
Molecule: ribosomal RNA, 254 nt
Filed under: uncultured bacterium
Lineage: Bacteria
Description: partial 16S ribosomal RNA
Rfam family: Bacterial small subunit ribosomal RNA
Source: RNAcentral